RNAcentral lists this ribosomal RNA (441 nucleotides) under Triticum aestivum (bread wheat). Its description in RNAcentral is "partial small subunit ribosomal RNA". Lineage: Eukaryota; Viridiplantae; Streptophyta; Magnoliopsida; Poales; Poaceae. The record is from RNAcentral.
CGUUGUGGUUAGCCUAACUGCCGCCUCUGUCCACUUAGCAAGCAAGGUCAAGAGCCGGCGGCUCAUCUCUUUUUCCAAUGCCACUUCACAACCCGUGUUUGGAAACACAUUCUACCGUGGCUUGGCAUGCAUCACAUCACUACGACAACAUGGCCGACGAGGGCUUCGGUGAGAGAUUGGUGGAACGUCAACCUUCAGAUUCUCCUAGGGUCUCCCAAGGUGCUUGCCCCUGUGAUGAUGCUCAUUUCUUGGGAGAUUUGGUUGGAGCGUAAUGCUAGAGUCUUUCGAAAGACGGAUGUCCCUUCCAUGGUUAUUAUCAACAUGAUUAAAGAGGAGGUGUCUCUUUGGGCUUUGGCGGGCACAAAGCAUUUGAAUAUUGUAAUGCUGUUUUAUUUUGCCCUUUUUUUAGCCGCAAAUCGUAGAACAAUAGUUCUACGGUAA